AUGCCAUGUUGUGGACAACUGCCACAUAAUUUUUUAAAUCUUUCCCAGUAAUCAAAGGGAGUUUCAGUAUUUCUUUGUUGGAUUCCCAAAAUGUUUAGCCUAUGUUU
This is a small nucleolar RNA of Hibiscus syriacus, 107 nucleotides long. NCBI's taxonomy places the organism in Eukaryota, Viridiplantae, Streptophyta, Magnoliopsida, Malvales, Malvaceae. The record is from RefSeq and is a predicted model, not a curated record.